This 440-nucleotide unclassified non-coding RNA is filed under the name Hevea brasiliensis (rubber tree). Lineage: Eukaryota; Viridiplantae; Streptophyta; Magnoliopsida; Malpighiales; Euphorbiaceae. The record is from RNAcentral.
AGGAUCAAAUUAGGGUUAUGCAAGCAGUUGCAAAAAAAGAUAAUGAAAAUGUGAUGGAGAAAUUAGACAGAGUGCAAAGGAAACUAGAAAUGUGAUAUUAGAGUAGAUGUGAGUCGUGAUUGGGGCUAAUUUGGUAGAUAAAGGCAAGGGAAUCAGUUCUGUAGAAUAUGAGGGAGCGAGUACCGCUUGUUGCUUCUUUCGGAGGUAGGGGAAUUUUACCAAUACCUAGGGAAAAUGGGAAUCAGUCACAGAAGGAGUCUAAUAGUGCUAGAUCGAUAUUAAAAACUGAAGAUGGGCCUAAAAAGUUACCUAAAGUCCAACUUGUUACUAUUGAUGAGAAAGAACUUAGGGCUUGGAUUAGGAAAUAUAUCAAGUACUUUGAGGUUUAUGGAAUACCUAAGGAUCAAAUGGUAGGAAUUGCUAGUUUGUUUCUAAUGGAU